Aphidius gifuensis is the source of this 7916-nucleotide long non-coding RNA. RefSeq lists it as uncharacterized. NCBI's taxonomy places the organism in Eukaryota, Metazoa, Arthropoda, Insecta, Hymenoptera, Braconidae. The record is from RefSeq and is a predicted model, not a curated record. The transcript is spliced from 5 exons.
UGUUGGUAGAGGGGGUUGACCGCAUUACUACCUUUAGUCAUUAGAAAAUAUUGGAAAAUAUUCAUUUUUUGUUAUUUUAAUAAUAUCUAAAUAUUAUUUAUCCAUUUAAAAUUAAUAAUUAUAAAUUUAUUAAAUUUUUUCAUAUAAAUUAAUUGGUGAAAACAUAAUAUUUCGACUUGUAAUGUGUAAUAAUUGAUGAACUAUUUUGUUGAUAUGAGGCGUAGUAAUACACACUGAAGGCUUUAUUAACCCCACUCUUGAUUGUUGAGUGCGUCAUUCCAGGGCUGUUAUUCGUCGAGUGUAGACUGUAUCUUGCUCGGUUGGUCUUGAAGACUGUGCAUCGAUAUUCGGAGGAACUCACCUUUGACGUCGAUUAACACACGAGCUUGCUACAGUCUCACCGUUGAUGAGAUGGCAUUGGAAUGAUCAGCAAGAGAGAGCAAAGGAGAUGUGAUGUGAUGAGAUGAGAUGAGAGGAGAGGGAGGGGGCUGUGAUGAUUGCAGCAACAUUCACUCACUUGCUUGCGUGCUUUCUUGCUUAUGUUGGUUGAUCUCUCUCUCUUACCUGACAGAUGACACAUACACACAGAGAGACAUUGAGAGAUGAUGUCAAGCCAAUUUCAUCGUCGGUUUGAUGGAGUAAUGGAAAUACCUACGUAAGAAAUUUGAAUUCAUAUAAUAAUAAAUAAAAUAAAUGUUUGAUUUAAAACAAAAAAAUAUAAUUUAUUUUUCGAGUUUAAAAUAAUUUAAUACACAACAAAAACAAUAUAAUUUAAUGCAUGAAAAUAUUUAUUAGCUAUUAAUACCAUAAACAUCAUCCUUUUCAGUUUACAAUGCAAACACCUUGUUCAAUUGAAAGACAAAAAUAUGUACUCAAAAUCCAUUAAGAGGAAAUGAUUCGAUCGUCCGGAUAUUAUUGUUGUUGUUGUUGUUGCCAUUUUCUAUAUCAACAGCGUCGCAAUGGCCAAGUCACAUCAAUCACAGACAUUUAUUUUGAUACAUCUCGGUGAGAUUAAAAAAAAAGAAAUUGGAUUUGUUUGAUUAUAUAUUUUUUUUGAUUAAAUUGUGGGUUAAAAAUAAAUUUAAGGUAUUGUAAAUUGAGAGGUGAAGGGGAGGGGGGGGGGUGUAGGGAACAAAAAAAAUGUAUGUUUUUGUAGAUGAUGGCCAUGAUGUACAUGUAUUAUCAAGCGGCGCUGAAUGAACCUGGCUGAAUAACGUCGUCGUCGACUUGUUGAGCUUGCCCAAAUAAAUAAACUACAGCCACUUUGCACUACUCCUCGUCAUCAUGUUGUUCGUCUCUGUGCGUGUGUUUAUGUGUACAUCGUUACCUUGACCACUUGAAAUAAUAAUUAUCAUCAUCAUCAUCAUGAUCACCACGACAAUGGAUUGUGAAAUAUGUACUACGGAGAACCUCGCACAAGUAUUUUACAUAUAUAUAUAAAUAAAUAUAAUAUUAUUAUUAUUAGUAUCAUCAUCUAGAAGGAAACAUACACAAGUACAAAAUGACACUUGGCUGUUUUUUGGUGAGCUGUGUUGUUAAUCCUUGCAAUAAUAAUAUUUAUGUGUUGGGGAAAUAUUAGUAUAUUUUCCCAGGUUCUCCGGAUGUCAUCAUCCAUAAUGGAAUGUGGCUUCUUUGACAUUGCACUGCACACUGCUCCACAUUUAUGCUGAUUUACAAUUCAAAACGAGAACGGUAUCACAAUUCUACUAAUGAAAUUUAAUUUUUAUUUUAUCAAUUUAUAAUAAUAUUCGUAUUGAAUAUGAACAUGUACGACGAGAUGUAUGAUAUAUAUAUAUAUAUAUAUGGGAUGGAGGGGGGUAAAAAAAAAAAAGGAAAAACGUAUGAUUUUAGUCACAGGAAAUCAUCAGCCUCAUGUUGUCCUGACUAGAUGCAGUUUUAAUUGGCAAGUACCCAAACAACGAGCACCAUUGUCACAAUCAGAGAGAUUCACUCCUAUUGCUGUACUAUUUUUAAAUGAAUGAACUGAGCACAACUUUGAAAUUAUAUCAGGUAUUUAAAUUUUCUCCAAUGGGGAAAAAAAUAAAAAAAAGAAAUAUGGGAAUAGGGGUGGGGUUUUUUUUUUUUUUUUGUUUGUUAUGUUCAGAAGGUGCUGUCAAUAAUAGUGGAGAUGAUAUAGUAACCAGGCUGAUUUAAUAACGAAAAUUGGAGCAUGCUCUUUAUAUGAAAACUGAUUGGUCACAUCAUCCCAAUACAUACAAAUACGUGAAACGAAUUAUCAACAUGGAUCGAUUCCAAUGCGCUAUAAUAUUUAUCAAAAAUUUUCCAUGAUUUAUGAUGGCAAUAAGGGGUAAUAUGUCAAUCAGGGGUAAGCGGCAAUUAAUGAGCGUUAUUCUCUUUUUUUUUUUUCCUCUUGUUCUUCUUGUUAUUGUUGUUGAGCUUCAAAAACAAGUCAGGGUCUUGGAGACUGAUUAAGCUAAUCCGGAAUGGCACAGUUGACCUUGUGAUGAUAACUAACGUACGUGGUGUAGCCUAGGACAGAUCAUACGAGAUUAAAACAUCAAGAGUAUUAUGGCGUGUGCUUGUUUUAAUUAAAAAUAUAUACGUGGGUGGAAAUCGAAAGGGAGGGGAAAAAUAAUAAUUUGAGCUACAGGCACCAGUUGAGGCGAAAUAAAACAAGAUUACUACUACCACUACUACUACUACUACGACGACGUGGUGAUUCCGGAAUGAGACAAGUUUUAUAACUAUUCAACGUAGUUGUUGGCAUUGGCAUUGUUGCUGUAUCGGUUCACAAUAUUACCAGAGCACAAAUACAUCAUCAAAAAUAUUAUCAAUCAAUCACAACCAAUAGAAAGAAAUUUAUAUAUACAUAUCAAACAGAUGAGUAACUGAGCACAAAUCAAUUUAUGCAGUUUUAUAAUAAUAUAUUGAUUGACAAAAGCCAAUGUCUUGGUCAUCUAGCUUGGCUUUGUCUCAACAAUCAUGUGGUACAGUCCAAUUUGAUCAAGAUCAUAUUAUCAUGGGAGGUAACGCACGUAUCAGUAUAAUUAUUUAUUUAAUAUACAAUCUGUUGUUACCUAUUUUUUUUUUCUUCUUCUUCUUAAACUUUUUGUCUUCUUAAUUUUAUUUGAUGAUGAAAUCAAUUGCGUGUGUGCGUGUGUGUCUAUCUUGACAACUGCAUAUUUGUUUGGUUUUUUUUUUUCUUUUUUUGUUGAUUUGAUCGCAGGAAUCAAAUAAGCAAACAAAAUACAAAAGGAAGAUGCAAAUGAAUAAUCAAAGUAAGAGUAUCAAAAUUCAAUCCUGCAACACACCCAUAUAUAUGAGAAUUAAUCUAGGGAAUGCGUAUACAAUAUACAUAUAUAUUUAUUGUGAAACUUGGUGUGUCUAUUAAUUGACGUAAAUCGUAAUGUCAUUUGAGGUGAGAUGAGAUGAGAUGAGAUGAGGUGGGGUUUAUUCUUCCCAAUUACUAAGUAUCAUCAUAUUGCCAGGUAAAUUAUCAUACUUAUACUUUUCUUGUAUAUGUUAAUAAUCAUUAACAUUAAUUAAUAUUAUUAUUAUCGUGAAAGCGAAUUACAAUAUACAACUUGGUUAUAUAUUUGUUUUAGAAUUUGAAUAUCUGUUAGUGAACGAGAUUAUUUAUAACAAAAGUUCAGUUAUUAUUAUUAUUAUUAUUACUAUUAUUACUUUUCGUGCGCUUUGAUAAUUAUUUAAAGAAAAAGUCUGCCUAUCAUCUACCUACAUGCCCACAAAUGCUGCUGGCUUAUUUAAUGAAUGACAUACAAUUUUAUAUAUAUAUUAAAAUUAAUUAAUUGAUUGAUUGGGCAAAGCAUAUACAUACAAUAAUGCUUGGAUAUUAUCUAUCUAUUAUAUAAUGAAAAAAGUUAUUUAUCUUGUUGCAUCAAUUAGCAUUAAAUAUUAAAUAUUAAUCAGUGGUGCACUUUUAUCACUGAUAAUAAUAAUAAUCUCACAUACACACAUAAGUAUACACCUGCAACAUAUAUAAAUAUAUUAUUUUUUUUUCACUAGUGUCCUGUGAACGCUAUAAUUUCUAUUAUUAUUAUUACUAUUAUCUUUGAAAAAAUAAUUAAUGCGUGUUGUUGUUGUUAUUGCCUAUAUUGUGCACAGGCCAAAAAAAAAAAAAAAAACGAUAAGUGAAGGUGGAAGAAAAAGAAAAAAAAAAAAUGUGCAAUCAAGUUGUUUUUAAUAAUUUAGUUGAGACGUUUUAAAUGACGUUUUGUUUGUGAGCAAGUUUUUAUAAUUGUUUAUCUAUUAUUAAUAUAUUGAUGGUUACUGCAGUUGUUAUAUUAUUUAAACAUAUGCGAGUAGUUGCAUAGUGCGGUUUUAAUUUAUUUUUUAUUUUUUUCCAUUUUACAUUAUUACAAGUUGAUUGUGAUUUGUUAUUUUUAAUUUUGGUUUUUUUUUUUUUUUUUUCAAAUAGUUAUUACACAUGUACUAGUUUACCUACCUAUACAUGUUUUUUUGAAAAUUAAUUUUUUUAAUUCUUUCACAAUUAAAUUAUCAUUAUUGCAAUGCAUUUUAUAUUAUAUAUAUAAUUAAAAAAGAAAAAUAAUAAUAAUACUAUUGUGCUAUGUGAAUGAUAUAUAUAGAGAGUGAUUGUGAUUAAUUAUUAUUGAUGACAAUGUAUAUAAUUAUGAUGAUGAUUAUUUAAAUGGCCUGUUUUUAACCGCACUGCUAUAAAAGUUACACGAUUCGUGAAAAAAAAUAUAGUAAUAAUAUCCAAAAAAAUUACAUGCAAAUUGGGAUGAUGAAAGGAAAAAAGGAAAAAAAAAAAAAAAAAAAGUGUUACAUUUGUAGAAGUGGCUUAUUUCUUGCUAGAAAUCCUGAGCAUUAUUAUUAUAAUUAUGUGAGUGUUUUAUGGCCUUUUUAUUUUUUUACUUAAAAAUUUGUUAAUAUUUUUCUAUUAUCAUCAUUAUUUGAUGAUUUAUUUAUUUAUUACUAACUUUCAUAUAUAGUUUUGUCAAUCAACACAUUGUUUUUAAAUUUCAAUUACUAUUAUUAUUAUUAUUAUUAUUAUAAAUAUUAUAACAUUUUAUGUAAAUAAUUAAUGCUAUAUACUUGUUUAUGCAAAAAGACAUUAUAUUACUAAUAAUGCUCGAUAUAAUUUGUAUGUCGAUUUAAAAUAAUAAUAAAAAUAUUUAUGAUGUUGGGGGCGAGGGUGGGUCAAGGUCUAGGCUAUUACUAAUUACCCUUGCGAAUUUUUUUCAAUACAUAUUUUCAGGCAACGAAAAAAAAAGAAAAAAAAGCACUCGCACUCUGCUGCUACUUGUGCAAAAUUAUUUAUUUCAUUAUUUACUUAUUGACUGAUAAAUUGAUAAAUUAAAAUUGAAAAAUAUUGCUGCUAUAGCUGUCUGGCUACUUUUUUUGUUUGGCAUCAUGAAUAUUAUGGGAGAAUCAAGAGAUAUUAUGAUAAAGUUGGCCUGAUGUCACUGAAUUGUUGCUAUAAUUACAUUAUUGUGAUACACAUGAUAUUUGGGAAAUAAUAAUAAUAAUAAUCCUCUUGGCAUGCAUCUAUAAUCUAUAUAUUGGCUGAAUUAAAUAAUUAAAUUUUCUUGUGUCAGUACGAGUCAGUAAUCAGUAUCACCAAUUUAUAUAUACAUAUUUACAACAAACGAGUUACAAAUAGUCGUUGUAUUUAUUGUCCAGCUUUUUCAAACCAUGAUGAAGAUGAUAUUAUUAAUAUUAUAUGUUAUAACACUGCAUUUUAUUUAUAUUUGAGGAUUAUUACAUAAUAUUAUAUACAUGUAUUGCUGACAUGGUAGAGAGGUACGCGCUAUAUUUAUUUAAUUUAUUAUUUAUAUAUUAAUAAUAUUUUAAUUACAUCUAUUUAUUAAUAUUUAUUUAAUGCUUAACACAAUUUCAUGUGCAUAACAUGUAUGAUGUAUUAAUAUUUAUUUCAUCAUGAUGGAGACAAAAUAUCUGUCUUUUUUAAAACAAAAACAAUUUGGAAUUUUUAAUGAGCACUUGGUAUACAUAUAUAUAAAUGAGGAAUUAAUAAACCAGCAGCUGAAGAUUAUCAUAAACACACUAGAUCAAGUUGGGUAGUCACAUUAAUGGAUUAUGUAUAUGAGCACCACACAAUUUAAUAACGAGACGCAGACUCUUUUUUUUUCAAAUGCAGCUAUUUGUUAUGUACCUAUUAUAUAAUUGAGGAAUGAUAAUGAUGAUGGGCAUUGCGUGAGUCUUUCUAUUUAAGUAGGUAACAAAAACAUGUAGUUUUUCUCCAGUGUGUUGUUUUUUUUUUUCUUUUUUUUUCCCUGCUAACCGAGUGUUUUAGAGAUAUCAAGAUAUACCAACAAUCUUGAAGGAAUUUACUUGCUGCACUGUUGUAACUGUUAAUCACGAGGAUGAUGAUGAUGAUGAUCCUAUUAUUUAGUCACAAUGAAAUAUCAUCAGUAAAAAUAGUCGUGGCCUGAAUUAAUUAGAGCUUCUCCUUAUUGGUGAUGUUGUGGUUGUUGUUGUUCAUCAUAUUCUUCUUUUUCUUCAACUACCUCUUUAACCAAGGAAAAAACAGCGACAAUUUAUUUGGCUCAUCUUGCUAGUAGUCAUCACGUUGAUUAUGCAACUACACCGUGCCAGUCCAUAGUAUAUAUAUAAUAGGAUAGCAGUUUUAUAUUUUUUGUCAUCUACUCAUAUCAACUCAUCUAUACUCGUCAUUUGAGAUUGCAAGAUUCAGCUUCUCUUUAAUAAUAAUGAGUGGCUUUUUAACACAACUAUUCAAGAUGAAUUAUUUCGUGUUCAUCGAGGGUUGUUGCAUUAUGUAUUCAUCAUCAAUUGACGCUGCACCAAAAUACACUGAAACACAUAACUCCGCAAGUUCCUCCAAUACAAUGGGCUUUUUACUAAAUAAAUAUAUUCCCAAUAAUUGUGAUGCACCUCAUCAGCACGCAAAUUCCGAGGGUGGUAUGGAAUUUUUAUAUCUUUCUACAGUCAGCAACUUCAUGGAUGUAUCCAGAUGUAUCCAGAGUUCCAGCAAAAAGGCAUUUUUUUUCUUAAAAAAAAGAUUAUAUUCCAAUUAUUUACUUUUUACAGUUAUUAUCAUUUUUUAUUUUAUUUAACAAUAUUAUAAUAAUUUAUUAUUGGGUUGCAAAUGAUUUUUCAUUUAAAAUAUAAAAAAAUAAAAAAAUAAUAUUAAAUUUAAAAAAUUGAAAAAAAAAAAAAAAACUAAGAAAUAAAAAAAAUAGAAAUCUAAAAAAUUAAAAAAAAACAUGAAUAAAAAUAAAUAAAAAAUUACAUUAACAAAAAAAUAAAUAGAAAAUAGAAAAAAAAAAGGUUGGGGGGAGAGGGGCUGGACCAGCGCAGAAGAAAGAAGACAUCGCAGAAGAGGACCCCAGAGGAGCAGUGGACCAGAGGACUUCAUCGUGGGAUCAACCUGGACGUGGACGUGGACCUGGACCUGGACGUGGAGCUGGAUCAAGUGGACAUCAUCGUGGGACGUGGACAAGAAGACAACAUGGAUUAUUAAUUGCGACAUUGAAGGACUAGUAUGAAUCAUUAACAAGAGUCCAAUACUCAUAAAUUCAUUGGCAAUUUUGGGAAACAAACAAUGAUAUAAUUCAAAUGAAAUUUACAAUUUUUUGUCAAUCAACGUACAUACCCUUAUAGAACAAGUAAAAAUAAUUAUUUAUUAUUUUUUAUCAUCUUUCGGUUAAUUAAUAACAAUAGGCCAGACAUUUAAAUUAAAAAGACUGACAAAAAAAAGUAAACGACACACACACACACUUUAUAAACUUUUAACUUAACUUUUUGCAUCAACAGAUUCGAGUCUUUAUCUUUCUUAUUUCCAUGAUUAAAUAAUUUUAAUGAUUGAUGCACAAUAAAAAACUAAUUUUUCUAAAUUUACAACAAAUCAAAAUAUCCAAAUUCUACAAAAGUAAAAAUACACAGUAUUUAAUGAAUUAGUUAUUGAAGCAAAAGUACAAUUAAUUGACAAAAUG